AUAACCCCGGGAAACUGGGGAUAAUACCCCAUAGACUAUGAAUGCUGGAAUGCUUUGUAGUUGAAAGGUCCGCCGCCAUAGGAUGGGUCUGCGGCCGAUUAGGUUGUUGUUGGGGUAACGGCCCAACAAGCCUGUAAUCGGUACGGGUUGUGGGAGCAAGAGCCCGGAGAUGGAUUCUGAGACACGAAUCCAGGCCCUACGGGGCGCAGCAGGCGCGAAAACUUUACAAUGCGGGAAACCGUGAUAAGGGAACUCCGAGUGCCCGUAAAAUCGGGCUGUCCAUCUGUUUAAAUAACAGGUGAAGAAAGGGCCGGGCAAGACCGGUGCCAGCCGCCGCGGUAAUACCGGCGGCUCGAGUGGUGGCCACUAUUACUGGGCUUAAAGCGUUCGUAGCUGGUCUGUUAAGUCUCUGGGGAAAUCUACUGGCUUAACCAAUAGGCGUUUCAGGGAUACUGGCAGACUAGGGACCGGGAGAGGUGAGAGGUACUCCAGGGGUAGGAGUGAAAUCCUGUAAUCCUUGGGGGACCACCUGUGGCGAAGGCGUCUCACCAGAACGGCUCCGACAGUGAGGGACGAAAGCUGGGGGAGCAAACCGGAUUAGAUACCCGGGUAGUCCCAGCCGUAAACGAUGCGCGUUAGGUGUAUCGAUGACCACGAGUCAUCGAGGUGCCGAAGAGAAAUCGUGAAACGUGCCGCCUGGGAAGUACGGUCGCAAGGCUGAAACUUAA
RNAcentral lists this ribosomal RNA (728 nucleotides) under uncultured archaeon. RNAcentral describes it as "bacterial SSU rRNA". It matches the Rfam family "Archaeal small subunit ribosomal RNA", at positions 126 to 859 of the family's 1478-position model. The record is from RNAcentral.